GCAGUAGCCGCGGGAAUACGGAGGGAGCUAGCGUUGUUCGGAAUUACUGGGCGUAAGGCGCACGUAGGCGGUUAUUCAAGUCAGAGGUGAAAGCCCGGGGCUCAACCCCGGAACUGCCUUUGAAACUAGAUGACUAGAACCUUGGAGAGGUCAGUGGAAUUCCGAGUGUAGAGGUGAAAUUCGUAGAUAUUCGGAAGAACACCAGUGGCGAAGGCGACUGACUGGACAAGUAUUGACGCUGAGGUGCGAAAGCGUGGGGAGCAAACAGGAUUAGAUACCCCUGUAGUCCCUGUCUCUUAUAC
This 302-nucleotide ribosomal RNA is filed under the name uncultured bacterium. RNAcentral's name for it is "partial 16S ribosomal RNA". It matches the Rfam family "Bacterial small subunit ribosomal RNA", at positions 508 to 807 of the family's 1533-position model. The record is from RNAcentral.